AGAAAGAUAAGCUAAGAAAGCUAUUAGGUUCAUACCCUAAAUAUAGAAAUUAAAUAUUCUUCUUUCUA
Molecule: transfer RNA, 68 nt
Filed under: Exitianus nanus
Lineage: Eukaryota; Metazoa; Arthropoda; Insecta; Hemiptera; Cicadellidae
Description: tRNA-Met
Source: RNAcentral